GUGCUCACUUCAGCAGCACAUAUACUAAAAAAUUGGAACGAUACAGAGAAGAUCAGCAUGGCCCCUGUGCAAGGAUGACACGCAAAUUUGUGAAAAAAUAUAUAUUUUA
This 109-nucleotide small nuclear RNA is filed under the name Saimiri boliviensis boliviensis (Bolivian squirrel monkey). The record is from RNAcentral. Lineage: Eukaryota; Metazoa; Chordata; Mammalia; Primates; Cebidae.